RNAcentral lists this ribosomal RNA (842 nucleotides) under uncultured Chloroflexota bacterium. RNAcentral's name for it is "bacterial SSU rRNA". It matches the Rfam family "Bacterial small subunit ribosomal RNA", at positions 28 to 895 of the family's 1533-position model. Lineage: Bacteria; Bacillati; Chloroflexota. The record is from RNAcentral.
GAUAAACGCUGGCGGCGUGCCUUAUGCAUGCAAGUCGAACGGUCUCGAUUUAUCGAGAUAGUGGCGAACGGGUGAGUAACGCGUAAGUAACCUGCCCCUAAGUAAGGGAUAACUCUGAGAAAUUAGAGCUAAUACCGUAGUGGUGGUGGAGGUAAUGCUUCAUCACUAAAGCUUUAGGGCGCUUAGGGAGGGACUUGCGUCCGAUUAGCUAGUUGGUAGGGUAAUGGUCUACCAAGGCGAUGAUCGGUAGCUGGUUUGAGAGGACAUCCAGCCACACUGGGAUUGAGAUACGGCCCAGACUCCUACGGGAGGCAGCAGCAAGGAAUUUUGUGCAAUGGGCGAAAGCCUGACACAGCGACGCCGUGUGGGGGAUGAAGGCCUUCGGGUUGUAAACCCCUUUUCUCAGGGAAGAAUAAUGACGGUACCUGAGGAAUAAGUCGUGGCUAACUACGUGCCAGCAGCCGCGGUAAUACGUAGGCGGCAAGCGUUAUCCGGAUUUAUUGGGCGUAAAGAGGGCGUAGGCGGUUUCUCAAGUCGAUUGUAAAAUCUCCCGGCUUAACUGGGAGGGGCCAGUCGAUACUGUUAGACUAGAGGGCAGCAGGGGGAGGUGGAAUUCCCGGUGUAGUGGUGAAAUGUGUAGAUAUCGGGAGGAACACCAGUGGCGAAGGCGGCCUCCUAGGCUGUUUCUAACGCUGAGGUCCGAAAGCGUGGGGAGCAAACAGGAUCAGAUACCCUGGUAGUCCACGCUGUAAUCGAUGGACACUAGGUAUAGGGAGUAUCGACCCUCUCUGUGCCGAAGCUAACGCAUUAAGUGUCCCGCCUGGGGACACGGCCGCAAGGCU